RNAcentral lists this ribosomal RNA (275 nucleotides) under uncultured bacterium. RNAcentral's name for it is "partial 16S ribosomal RNA". It matches the Rfam family "Bacterial small subunit ribosomal RNA", at positions 338 to 605 of the family's 1533-position model. The record is from RNAcentral.
CCUACGGGGGGCAGCAGUGGGGAAUCUUGCGCAAUGCGCGAAAGCGUGACGCAGCAACGCCGCGUGAGGGAAGACGGCCUUCGGGUUGUAAACCUCUUUCAGUUGGGACGAAGCUUCAGUCGUUAACAGCGGCUUGGAGUGACGGUACCUUCACAAGAAGCCCCGGCUAACUACGUGCCAGCAGCCGCGGUAAUACGUAGGGGGCUAGCGUUGUCCGGAAUCAUUGGGCGUAAAGAGCGUGUAGGCGGCCCGAUCAGUCCGCUGUGAAAGUCCAA